Molecule: long non-coding RNA, 215 nt
Filed under: Elaeis guineensis (African oil palm)
Lineage: Eukaryota; Viridiplantae; Streptophyta; Magnoliopsida; Arecales; Arecaceae
Description: long non-coding RNA (EGUI_LNC015521)
Source: RNAcentral
GGAUGCCAUUGGUGAGUGGAAUCUGGUACCUGUUACGCGCCUCCGGAUCCAUAUCUUACCUUACACGCUACCCAGAUUAGGUUGGAUCACACAGCAAGCAGGUCUGAAUUGGGUUAGCAGAUGUUUGUGUCCGGGUUUGAGUUGGAUUAGUUAUGGAUCCAGACUGAAUAUGGGUCUCAAGUAGGUACUGCUAUUCAGAAAACUUAAUCCGGCCC